This 452-nucleotide long non-coding RNA is filed under the name Ananas comosus (pineapple). RNAcentral describes it as "long non-coding RNA (ACOM_LNC030749)". Lineage: Eukaryota; Viridiplantae; Streptophyta; Magnoliopsida; Poales; Bromeliaceae. The record is from RNAcentral.
GAGAUGUCACAAGUUUGGCGAUUGAAGAUUACAUUGAUCUAUUGUUACAACAAAGGCAUAAACGAAAACGAAAAUGAUGAACACAAAAUAGACAAACCACAAGCAGAAAAUAGAAGAACACAUAGAUUUACGUGAAAAAUCUUUUGUAGAAAAAAAAUCACAGGCGAGGGAGGAGAGCUUCACUAUUGAAUGAAAAAGGGAAUACAAAGUUCAAAGUACAAUCAAUCUGUCGCCUCUAGGGCAAAACGAAGAAACAAAUUCUUAAUAGGUUUCGAAUCUGAUCCGAUUCGUGCCUACCUUAGACAUUCAUUUUUCCUCCACAACUUAUUUUCCAAAUUAGUUGCACCGUGAAACUAUUGACGAGUCGGAGUUCCAAAACUGAAGUCGAUUACCAAUUUCGAGGCAUAUCUAACAAAUCUUCACCUUGACGAGAAAUUUCCUUUAAAUAAAGC